GAAACUUCAUUCAUUCAGACUUCUUGAUAUGUUAGCUUAGAUCGAUCAAAACGAACCCCUUCUUAUUUUUCUGUCGCCGUCUCUGCGAACCCUAGCUUUUCACUCUCUGUGCUUUGAUCAAAGCUUGCAUUUUCAAACUUUGAGCAUGGCUUCGAGAUCAUCGGGUCGUAACAACUCUGCUUCGAAAGGGUUUGAUUUCGCCACGAACGAUGACUUUGUUUGCUCGUACGAGGACUACGGUAAUCAGGGUAAUUAUAAUGGAAGGCACUCCGAUUCCGUGAUUGGAUCCAAUUCUGCUAAGCUUUUCACUCUCUGUGCUUCGAUCAAAGCUUGCAUUUUCAAACUUUGAGCAUGGCUUCCAGAUCAUUGGGUUGUAACAACUCUGCUUCGAAAGGGUUUGAUUUCGCCACCAACAGGAUAAUUAUAAUGGAAGGCACUUUGAUUCCGUGAUCGGAUCCAAUUCUGCUAAGGGAUAACCAAUACCACUGGCAAUUGCUACAAUUAUAACAAUCCCAAUACCAUCCGCAAGGAGAGAGAUCAAUAUCUCAACUUUGACACUGUUCAUCCCACUCAAGCAGCUAACUAUGUUUUUUCGUUGAAUUGUUUCGGUGGAACACUUUGCAGUCCACUCAAUAUCAGGACUCUUGUUGGAGCUCAACUCAGCGGGAGCAGGGUCACUGCUGUGCAGUGUUCCCUGCUGUGCCUAGAACGGCACGAUUUUAGUCUCUUUUUUUUUUUUUUUAUGUUCUCACUAUGGUUUUUGAUGUGAUAAAUUACACUUUUUUUAAUUUUAUUUUAGGAUUUAGGAUUUAAUUCUUAAAAUUUAUUUUUUUUUAUUUUAA
This is a long non-coding RNA of Camellia sinensis, 842 nucleotides long. RefSeq lists it as uncharacterized. The record is from RefSeq and is a predicted model, not a curated record. Lineage: Eukaryota; Viridiplantae; Streptophyta; Magnoliopsida; Ericales; Theaceae.